Molecule: small RNA, 1369 nt
Filed under: Pan troglodytes (chimpanzee)
Lineage: Eukaryota; Metazoa; Chordata; Mammalia; Primates; Hominidae
Description: retained intron
Source: RNAcentral
UUCCCUGCAGGGAGCUGCUUAUGGGACACCGCUUCCUGCGCGGCCUCUUAACGCUGCUGCUGCCGCCGCCACCCCUCUAUACCCGGCACCGCAUGCUCGGUCCAGAGUCCGUCCCGCCCCCAAAACGAUCCCGCAGCAAACUCAUGGCACCGCCCCGAAUCGGGACGCACAAUGGCACCUUCCACUGCGACGAGGCACUGGCAUGCGCACUGCUUCGCCUCCUGCCGGAGUACCGGGUACGGUCCGCGAAAAGUGACCCUGGGACUGCGUGCAUGCAUGCCUCCGGGGUGGAUGGCAUUCCGCCAACAGGGUCACUCCGAUAGCGCCCGGCAGCCCAAGCACCCUUCCUACCCUUCCUGCCUCCCUGAAGUCCAGCAUUAAUCCCUUACCCGGCGACACCCGGCAGCCCCUUCACCCCUGUGUACCUCGCAGGAUGCAGAGAUUGUGCGGACCCGGGAUCCCGAAAAACUCGCUUCCUGUGACAUCGUGGUGGACGUGGGGGGCGAGUACGACCCUCGGAGACACCGAUAUGACCAUCACCAGAGGUCUUUCACAGAGACCAUGAGCUCCCUGUCCCCUGGGAAGCCGUGGCAGACCAAGCUGAGCAGUGCGGGACUCAUCUAUCUGCACUUCGGGCACAAGCUGCUGGCCCAGUUGCUGGGCACUAGUGAAGAGGACAGCAUGGUGGGCACCCUCUAUGACAAGAUGUAUGAGAACUUUGUGGAGGAGGUGGAUGCCGUGGACAAUGGGAUCUCCCAGUGGGCAGAGGGGGAGCCUCGAUAUGCACUGACCACUACCCUGAGUGCACGAGUUGCUCGACUUAAUCCUACCUGGAACCACCCCGACCAAGACACUGAGGCAGGGUUCAAGCGUGCAAUGGAUCUGGUUCAAGAGGAGUUUCUGCAGAGAUUAGAUUUCUACCAACACAGCUGGCUGCCAGCCCGGGCCUUGGUGGAAGAGGCCCUUGCCCAGCGAUUCCAGGUGGACCCAAGUGGGGAGAUUGUGGAACUGGUGAAAGGUGCAUGUCCCUGGAAGGAGCAUCUCUACCACCUGGAAUCUGGGCUGUCCCCUCCAGUGGCCAUCUUCUUUGUUAUCUACACUGACCAGGCUGGACAGUGGCGAAUACAGUGUGUGCCCAAGGAGCCCCACUCAUUCCAAAGCCGGCUGCCCCUGCCAGAGCCAUGGCGGGGUCUUCGGGACGAGGCCCUGGACCAGGUCAGUGGGAUCCCUGGCUGCAUCUUCGUCCAUGCAAGCGGCUUCAUUGGCGGUCACCGCACCCGAGAGGGUGCCUUGAGCAUGGCCCGUGCCACCUUGGCCCAGCGCUCAUACCUCCCACAAAUCUCCUAGUCUAAUAAAACCUUCCAUCUCA